GAUCGAGUUUGAUCCUGGCUCAGAUUGAACGCUGGCGGCAUGCUUUACACAUACAAGUCGAACGGUAACAGGUCUUCGGAUGCUGACGAGUGGCGAACGGGUGAGUAAUGCAUCGGAACGUGCCCAGUCGUGGGGAUAACGCAGCGAAAGCUGUGCUAAUACCGCAUACGAUCUAUGGAUGAAAGCGGGGGAUCGAAAGACCUCGCGCGAUUGGAGCGGCCGAUGUCAGAUUAGCUAGUUGGUGGGGUAAAGGCCCACCAAGGCGACGAUCUGUAGCUGGUCUGAGAGGACGACCAGCCACAUUGGGACUGAGACACGGGCCCAGACUCCGUACGGGAGGCAGCAGUGGGGGAAUUUUGACAAUGGGCGCAAGCCCUGAUCCAGCAAUGCCGCGUGCAGG
RNAcentral lists this ribosomal RNA (400 nucleotides) under uncultured Malikia sp. RNAcentral's name for it is "bacterial SSU rRNA". It matches the Rfam family "Bacterial small subunit ribosomal RNA", at positions 1 to 407 of the family's 1533-position model. The record is from RNAcentral. Lineage: Bacteria; Pseudomonadati; Pseudomonadota; Betaproteobacteria; Burkholderiales; Comamonadaceae.